Molecule: ribosomal RNA, 496 nt
Filed under: uncultured bacterium
Lineage: Bacteria
Description: partial 16S ribosomal RNA
Rfam family: Bacterial small subunit ribosomal RNA
Source: RNAcentral
GACGAACGCUGGCGGCGUGCCUAAUACAUGCAAGUUGAGCGCUGGAGGGUGGUGCUUGUACCAACUGGGUUAGCAGCGGACGGGUGAGUAACGCGUGGGUAAUCUGCCUUUGAGCGGGGGACAACAUUGGGAAACGAAUGCUAAUACCGCAUAAUAACUUUAAACACAAGGUUUAAGUUUGAAAGAUGCAAUUGCAUCACUCAAAGGUGAUCCCGGGUUUUAUUAGCUAGUUGGGAAGGGAAAGGCUUACCAAGGCAAGAUAACAUAGCCGACCUGAAAGGGGGAUCGCCAACAUGGGACUGGGGAAACGCUCCAAACUCCUACGGGAGGAGGCGUAAGGGAUCCUCGGCAAUGGACGGAAGGCCGAACGAGGCACGCCGCCUGAGGGGAGGAGGUUCUCGGAUCGUAAAACUCUGUUUGUUGGGGAGAAAGAUGGUGGGAGUUGACAGCGCAUAAAGUGACGGUAACUAAUCAGAAAGGGACGGCUAACUACGUG